UAAAGUUUUGGUCCUAAACUUGCCAUUGUUUUUAAUCAAAAUUAUACAUGCAAGCCUCCACACACCAGUGAGAAUGCCCAUUAAUUACCCAAACAGUCAAACGGAGCAGGCAUCAGGAUCAGCCUGCCUAGCCUAGAACGCCUUGCUUACGCCACACCCACACGGGAUUUCAGCAGUAACUAACAUUAAAACAUGAACGAAAGUUCGACUUAGUUAUGAUUAAUCACGGCCGGUUAACUUCGUGCCAGCCACCGCGGUUACACGAAGGGCCAAAAACAAUGACCAUCGGCGUAAAGCGUGACCAGGUCUUAAGUCUUAACAUUAAAGGAGAAAUAGCGCCAAGUUGUAGAACGCAAUCGCAUAGAGAAUAUCACCACCAACAAGCCUUUAAACAAAAGACCAGCUGCUUUCACGAAAGCUAAGAAACAAACUGGGAUUAGAUACCCCACUAUGCUUAGCCCUUAACACAGAUAGUAUGAACACAAUGCUACCCGCCAGAGAACUACGAGCGAAAAGCUUAAAACUCCAAGGACUUGGCGGUUCUCCAUAUCAACCUAGAGGAGCCUGUCCUAUAAUCGAUACUCCACGCUUUACCCAACCCCUCCUUGCAACCCAGCCUAUAUACCGCCGUCGUCAGCCUACCUUAUGAAAGAACAAUAGUAGGCAAAACAGUAAACCACUAACACGUCAGGUCAAGGUGUAGCCAAUGGACGGGAAGAGAUGGGCUACAUUUUCUAUAAAAGAAAACACGAACGGCACCAUGAAACCAUUGCCCAAAGGCGGAUUUAGUAGUAAGACGAGCAAGAAAAAUCGCCUUAAACAUGCUCUGGAGCGCGCACACACCGCCCGUCACCCUCAUCACCACGCAGUAAAACCCUAACAUAUACACAAAAUGAAGCCCAGAUGAGGUAAGUCGUAACAUGGUAAGCGCACUGGAAAGUGCGCUUGGAAUAAC
RNAcentral lists this non-coding RNA (955 nucleotides) under Ateuchosaurus chinensis (Chinese short-limbed skink). Its description in RNAcentral is "12S ribosomal RNA". It matches the Rfam family "Bacterial small subunit ribosomal RNA". Lineage: Eukaryota; Metazoa; Chordata; Lepidosauria; Squamata; Scincidae. The record is from RNAcentral.